UCCUUGGUAGCUCAGACAGUAAAGAAUCUGUCUGCAAUGUAGGAGACCCAGGUUCAAUUCCUGGGUCAGGAA
Molecule: transfer RNA, 72 nt
Filed under: Capra hircus (goat)
Lineage: Eukaryota; Metazoa; Chordata; Mammalia; Artiodactyla; Bovidae
Also listed under: 1 other name
Rfam family: tRNA
About the family: Transfer RNA (tRNA) molecules are approximately 80 nucleotides in length. Their secondary structure includes four short double-helical elements and three loops (D, anti-codon, and T loops).
Source: Rfam by way of RNAcentral